This 302-nucleotide long non-coding RNA is filed under the name Panax ginseng (ginseng). RNAcentral's name for it is "long non-coding RNA (PGIN_LNC003603)". Lineage: Eukaryota; Viridiplantae; Streptophyta; Magnoliopsida; Apiales; Araliaceae. The record is from RNAcentral.
UUUGAUAUAACAGUUCCAGCAAUUUGAGAGGAAGAAUGAUGUUUUCAUUUACACUGAUAGAGAUGCCAAGAAAUCCAUUCCAUGAGCAUCUGUGUGAGAAUCAAAAGUCGGAACAAUAUGGGGUUUCUUCUGUCUGUUGAUGGUAGUCUCAGGCUCAGCAUUAAGAGGAGUAAAAGUUAUGGGUUAUCUCUGCUGCUCAUCCACAUUCUGUGAACCACGGAUCCUGUCAUGAACAUAAGCUUAUUUCUCAAUCUUCCCAACUACAUUGUUCAAACGCCUCUAGCAGGCUAAGCUGAAUGGGC